Molecule: long non-coding RNA, 427 nt
Organism: Magallana angulata
Lineage: Eukaryota; Metazoa; Mollusca; Bivalvia; Ostreida; Ostreidae
Exons: 3
Source: RefSeq, a predicted model, not a curated record
GUCUUAUCUUGUCUUGUUGUUUCUAGUGCUAUCGCGUUCCUUGAUCCACUUAGUCUCAUUCUCUCGUAGCUGUCUGAAAGCAAUGAAGAAUUUAGUUAUUUUCUGUGUUUUGUGUUUGACAUUGGAUUUUGUAGCCGGUGCCCUGAAGGACGACUGCACGGUGGACGCCGACUGUCAAUGCGCCGCGGGGACGUUCCCGCACUGUCACCACGGGAAGUGCUACUGCCACCAUAGUACCCACGAAUGCCACCACCCGGACGAGUGCGCGGCCUGUGAUGUUGACCACUACCCCACCUGUGACCAUCACCUCUGUCACUGCCACCCCACAACACCCCACUAAACAGUGAAAUAUUAUCAAAGACAAAGAGUGUAUAUACUGUUCAAAUAAAUUCAUUCUGAAAAUAAAUAUGUGCAUGUGUAUAUAAAC